CGGUUUUACUUAACGAAAGAAUUUUUAAUCUUUUAGUUUCGACCCCGUUUGGUCACCGAAAGCUCUACUGAAUUGUAAUCUCUAGCAGAUAGCAGUUCGAUUUUUAUUUUCCACCUUCCGGGUGUCAGAAUGAGGUGAAACUUUAAUUCUAGCCUCACAAAAAUAAUUCUGACAUAUCCUCUAGUUUUUAUAAUUUUCUGACACUGCAUUUUUUGCUAAGUUUUCUGCCCCGUACCUCACAGAAAAUUCUAAAUCUUCUGUUUUCGCUCCGAUUUCAGUACAGGUCAUUUCCAACUUAUACUUUACGCCCUUAAGUCCAAUAAAAAUAGUAUCUCACACUAUUUUUAUUUAUAUUUAUUUUUAUAUUAAAAAUCCAGCAUACUACAUCCACCGUAACUUCAUAAUUUUAGAAGUUCGUACUUUACAAUAGAAGUUCGGUACCUUACACCUACCCUGGUGUACCGGUACCAGGCCGAUGCUGUACAGAUACCCCGCAGCAGCCUUGACAACCCGUGAGUAGCAAACAGAAAUUCUAUACAGAGAUACCGGUAC
Molecule: long non-coding RNA, 552 nt
Filed under: Ananas comosus (pineapple)
Lineage: Eukaryota; Viridiplantae; Streptophyta; Magnoliopsida; Poales; Bromeliaceae
Description: long non-coding RNA (ACOM_LNC007388)
Source: RNAcentral